GCGCAGCAGUCGAGAAACUUACAAUGCGGGAACCGUGAUAAGGGAACCUCGAGUGCUGGCGCAUAGCGUCGGCUGUCCAGAUGCCUAAAGCAUCUGAUAGCAAGGGCCGGGCAAGACCGGUGCCAGCCGGCCGCGGUAACACCGGCGGCUCGAGUGGUGGCCACGUUUAUUGGGUCUAAAGCGUCCGUAGCCGGCUCGGCAAGUCCCCUGGGAAAUCUGGCGGCUCAACCGUCAGGCGUCCAGAGGAUACUGCUGGGGCUUGGGACCGGGAGAGGUGAGAGGUACCUCAGGGGUAGGGUGAAAUCGUUGUGGAU
This 314-nucleotide ribosomal RNA is filed under the name uncultured microorganism. RNAcentral's name for it is "bacterial SSU rRNA". It matches the Rfam family "Archaeal small subunit ribosomal RNA", at positions 330 to 646 of the family's 1478-position model. The record is from RNAcentral.